CCGUGCUCGGCGGAGCUCCCGUGCCUGCAUCUUGCUGACCCGUCGCGUGCUGCUUAUUCGGAACCAUUUGGUCCCGGUGCAGCAGUGACGGGCAUGUGAGCGCGGGCCCGGUUGCGGCCGUGUCGGCAUAUGAGUGGUUUUGGAUCCGAAUGUCCUGGCGGGCUCCCUGCCUCUGUGCAGCCAACCGUCGGUGACGCGGGUCCGUUCAUUAUCGUUGCUCCGAGGACCGUUCGAGGCUCGGUGCGCUGCCAAGUUGCCUGUGCGUAAAACUCUGUUUGAAGGGAACGACAUCUCGACCAUGUGCUCGACUCGCCCCAUCCUGCCUCCGGGCACGGAGGGGCGGCACUACAUGCAGUCCUCAAGUAUUCCUCGGGUCGCGGAUGGUCUGUUCGGCUGUCCGCACUCGGUGGGUGCUCGAGGGCUUGCGAGGACUUGCGGAUGCAGUGUAUGCGGAGAUCCCAUGGGCUUCGGCCCUCGGCCUCCUCUCGGUUGCGAUCCGGCGCAAGCCGGUCCCGUUCGAAUGACUCUCGAGCCGUCGUAACCUCUCACCUCCCCUCCCGGGGAGCGUGCAUGGCAUGACGGCCGAUGUCAUCGAGGGCGUGC
This 603-nucleotide unclassified non-coding RNA is filed under the name Stypandra glauca. RNAcentral describes it as "partial external transcribed spacer". The record is from RNAcentral. Lineage: Eukaryota; Viridiplantae; Streptophyta; Magnoliopsida; Asparagales; Asphodelaceae.